CUCAUUUCCAAAAAUUCUUCAUUAGGAAUAAGACACUGAAAGUAAUGAAACCCAAACUGGAACUGUGUGAAAAUAAUCAAGGAAGUCAAUUACUAUGAUUCUUUUUCUUUCUCCUAGGAAAAAAUUUUAAGAUUGAAUUUCUCCUGGAUAACGUGGCUCGGGUAGAAUCCAGAACUUUCAGCCUGCUGGCACAGCUUGUCCCUGGUGGUAGUGGCAGCAGCACUAGCAGUGGUGGCAGUGGCAGCAGCAGUAGCAGCAGCAGCACAAUGUCAGCUAUGGCUACAUCUGCUCAGCUCUUGACAACAGUCAUUAGCUUUCUGAUGGGACGAAUGUUAUUCUUGGAAAUAUUUAUGGCUUCAGUUUUUAUUUGAAUGUAACUGUAGGUAGGUACAGUUCAUUUUUUAUGUAAGAUAUGUCUCCACAUAUGCAGAUACCAGUAAAUGUUUCCCAAGUAAAGGUCAUGUGCUCAGUACUUCUGCAUAGCAUCACUGGGACACAGAGAGGAUUAAGACCUUUGGUGGCAGAGACUAGGCAGCCCUACUGGAAAUGUUAUUCACAUUAUGCAUUGCUACAAAAGAACAUAGGAAAUGAAAACCACAGGUAAUGUCACCACUCCUUUUCAAUAGCAAGGGGCAGACAUUCAGCUUGAGAUGGUUCAGGCAGUGAACAGAUCACCUGAUGAACAUCCCAGAAGUAGUCUGGUUUCUGCCAAGGACUCAGGCAAUGCCAUCCAGAACCUGUGCUCUCUAUAUUUUGUCUUUAUUCUCCUAGUGGCAGCUUCACUUCUAGGCCAACUCCUUUCCCCAGUCCUCAUGGCAAAAGUACUCACCAACAGGUUUACUUUCUACCAGUCCAGCAGCCAAUGCAGAAAGAACAAACUUCUUUCCAAAAGAUCCAGCAAAAAUCCCCCAGUUGUGCCAUUGACCUGGCUUAGGACACAUGCUUGGGACACUGAUCCUAUCAUUGCGGCCACAGGAUUUAAUUAGCUUAGCCUGGAUCACAUGGGAUAAGGUUCUGAGAAUGGUGGAAUUCAGAUGCCAGUACAAUAUGUAGAAAACAGUGAUAGUGAAUAUUAGGGAGAUUAGUAGGAGGGAAAGGGGGAAAGGUCCCUAAUGGCUACAGUGAUUACAGAAGAUUGUAAAUGUCACUCCAUCAGUAACACAUGAAAGUUGGUACUGUUGUAUAAAAUGUAAAAGAUCUGGAGAGAGAGGAAAAAGGCACUCAAGAAUAGGGCUAUGGUAGAAGUAAAGAAAGAAGUGAGAGGCAAAAAAUAAAUAAAUAAAUAAAGGCAUCUUUAAUUACACCUGCUCCACACUGAAUUCCUUUUUUUUCCCCCAAACAUAUUUCUCCUCCUGUCACUCUGUCUCAGUUAAUGACAAUGCCAUCUUUUCUGAUCCUUCAGUUUGAUACUUCUUAGACUUUCCCUUUCCACAAGCUCCACGUCUCAAGUGGUCUUAGUGCUAUCUAUAUCCAACCAAGUGGCUCAUCUCUGUUCCUCAUUUAAAGUCACUGCUAGACUUAUGAUUUUACUUCUCACUUUACCUAUUAUAACAGUCUCCUGCAUUCUUUGCUUACAGUCCCCCACACUUUCAUUCUGUCUUCUACAUUUGUAUUGGAUUUAGGUUCCUAAAUAAGCACAAGAUCUGUAACUAUAAUGGUAAAUUCAAGAUCAUGUAGCUAUAAUGGUAUUCUUGAAUCCUCAAAGAUUCAUCAUUACAUGCAAAAUCAAUACCAAAAGCUCCAAAAUCAGUUUUGAAGUCUGCCUUCUUUUUCCAAAUCAUUCCUAGAAAAGAUUCUUUUCAUUCUGCAUGUUCCCUCUGCCUGGGCUAUGUCCUGCUUGUCCAGUCUACCUCUCCAAGCACCCUCUAGGUUCUGCUCAAUCUCCACUUUUACUACCAAGUUUCCCUUAUCAUUUCCCUUUCUACAAAAUAUUUAGUUACCCUCUCCUUAGGUAUCUGUUUUUAUCUUUAUUAUAGUCCUUCCUGUAGUGUACUUGUAUUAAACUUUUAUGCAAACCUAUCUUUGUCACUCAAUUAUGAGAAUUUAGAAGACCACAUGCUCUACAUGCUAUAGGUACUAAAAAUAUGGUUUAGUUGACUGUAACUCUUAAAAGAACAUCAAGUCCUCACCUCUGACUUAGGGGGAAAUGUUGGGUAGUAUAGGCAAAUUGUAAAGAAUAUUGAUUGGCAGAUGUUAAUCAGUUUGCAGUUGAUUUCAUAGAGAAAAAUUUCCAACAAUUAAUGAAAUAAAAGCUUCACAUAAGAAAUAUUAACAAGGUCAAGGAAGGACAUGGGGUAGAGUAGGAAGGACACUGAAGUACUUCAGGUAAUAAAAGCCAAGGCUAGAUUUUAAAUUUAAAUAUAAGGGAGGCAGGAUAAGGGCAUUCAAUAAGGCUGGUUUGGGGCUUAACAAAACAAAAUGGAGGCUGAAACCAACCACAGGGGCUCCAGGAACAGCCCUAAUACAAGAAGGAGAAAAUCCUGGCUUCCCUUCGAGGGCAGAAGCUAAUUAGGAUCCAGCUGUCAAGGGAAAAGUGUGUUUUGCAGAGACCAGGUCCUGUCUUCUCAUAGCUGAAAACAGAAGAGCAUGGUGGGGCAGGGAGCAGGGUAGGGUAGGGGUGUAGAAACCUGGAGCUGAGGGAAAACAGGCAAAUGACCAAUAAAUUAUUCUUAUGCUCAUUUUCUUGUCUCCAGAAUUAUAAUAAAAGGUCACUUCUUCAUUUUAUAAUAGUAGAACAGAUAUUGCUUAAAUUCAUUUUCUUUUUCUCCUCAAAGCAUUGAAAUGCAAGGUCUGCUUGGUGACAUGUGUUAAGUACUGCUUUAUAUAUACUAGUGCACUUUGUCUUUCCUCAUUAAAUGCAUUGUUUUCCAGUUAUCUUCCCUAACUUUAAUUCUGCUUGAUCCCGACAAUGUUUGUAGUUUACCAAAUAAGAAAAUUCUAUUUUCAAAUCAUUAGUAAAUUAUAAGAGUUUCUGAGUCUUUUUUAAAUAGUUUUUUUAGUUGCAGUUGGACACAAUACCUUUAUUUUAUUUAUUUAUUUUUAUGUGGUGCUGAGGAUUGAACCUAGAGCCUUGCACGUGCUAGGCAAGGGCUCUACCACUGAGCCCCAGCCCCAGCCCAAGUUUCUGAGUCUUUUCAGGACUUUUUACAAAUCAAAUAGUUAACUUCUUUGCUGCUAAAUACAUAGCCAUUUUUAAAUUAAGACAAAAUUACUUAAACACCUUUAAUGCAUUGAAAUGAUGGGUUAUUUCAUAACUUUGCAUUCUGACUUAACAAUACUAUUGGUUGAAUCAUGACAUUUUGCUAAUAAAAUGGCAAAGCUUGACUUAAAAAAAUGUAAGUACCACAAUUUUCUCUACAUUUCUACCAUAUAUAUAUAUAUAUAUUAAUUCUAGCAUAAAAUUGAUAAAACUUGAAAUGCUACAUCUUUAUACAAUGUGAUUUUUUCCAUAUUUUUUAUUGUUGCAUAAUAGUUGUAUAUAAUAGAUUUGUUGUUAUAUAUUCAUACAUACACAUGAUAUAAAAAUAAAAUUUAGCAAAUAUCAUUCCCCAGUAUUUCUCUUUUCUUUCCUUUUCCCUCUUUCCUUGCCCUGAAUUCUUUCCUCUACCUUACUGAUAUCCCUUGAUUUUUCAUGAUUCUCUACUUUUUCCUUUUUAUUCUCUAGCUCCCACAUACAUGAGAAAACAUAUGACCCUUGAUCUUCUGAGUUUGACUUAUUUUACUUAACAUAAUAGUCUCAAAUUUCAUCCAUUUUCCUGCAAGUGACAUAAUUUCAUUUUUCUUUAUGGCUGAAUAAAAUUCCAUUGUGUAUAUAUACUACAUUUCUUUACUCAUUCAUUCACUGAUGGACCCCUAGACUGGUUUCAUAGUUUGGCUAUUGUGAAUUGUAUUGCUACAAACAUGGGUAUGUAUGUAUUGCUAUAGUGUGAUGAUUUUAGUUUUUAGGAUAAACACUGAGGAGUGGUAUAGCUAUGUCAUAUGCUGUUUCCAUUCCUGGUUUAUUGAAGAACCUCCAUACUGAUGAAAUACUAACUUUUGAACAUUACUUUUGCCAUUAUUUUUGCCCCAUCAACCUAUUUUAAAGUUAAAAUUAAUCAAACAGUUUAAAUCAUAUUGUAUGUUAUUACUGCUUUUUAAAAUUAUUUUGUAUUAUUUUCAUUUUUUUCAGGAAGCAACUAUAGUAGUGUUCCAAAGCACAAGCUGAAAACAAAAAUACAAGAAUUGCUUGCUCAUGAGCUAUUUUGGUGCACAACAUGAAAAAGCCUAUAACAUUUUCAAAAACAUAUGCUAAUGUAUUUUUAUAAUACAUAAAAUGGAAUAGCUUUAAUUACAAAAAUCAGAUUUCUCCUAAAUAUACAUUUCUUUUGAUUCCUUAUA
This 4377-nucleotide long non-coding RNA is filed under the name Marmota monax (woodchuck). Lineage: Eukaryota; Metazoa; Chordata; Mammalia; Rodentia; Sciuridae. The record is from RNAcentral.